This 443-nucleotide ribosomal RNA is filed under the name uncultured Anabaena sp. RNAcentral describes it as "bacterial SSU rRNA". It matches the Rfam family "Bacterial small subunit ribosomal RNA", at positions 338 to 795 of the family's 1533-position model. Lineage: Bacteria; Bacillati; Cyanobacteriota; Cyanophyceae; Nostocales; Nostocaceae. The record is from RNAcentral.
CCUACGGGGGGCAGCAGUGGGGAAUUUUCCGCAAUGGGCGAAAGCCUGACGGAGCAAUACCGCGUGAGGGAGGAAGGCUCUUGGGUCGUAAACCUCUUUUCUCAAGGAAUAAGAAAGUGAAGGUACUUGAGGAAUCAGCAUCGGCUAACUCCGUGCCAGCAGCCGCGGUAAUACGGAGGAUGCAAGCGUUAUCCGGAAUGAUUGGGCGUAAAGGGUCUGUAGGUGGCGGUGCAAGUCUGCGGUUAAAGAGUCUAGCUCAACUAGAUAAAAGCCGUGGAAACUGCAAAGCUAGAGUACGGUAGGGGCAAGAGGAAUUCCUGGUGUAGCGGUGAAAUGCGUAGAGAUCAGGAAGAACACCGGUGGCGAAAGCGUCUUGCUAGACCUGUACUGACACUGAGGGACGAAAGCUAGGGGAGCGAAUGGGAUUAGAUACCCCUGUAGUC